AUUGAACGCUGGCGGCAGGCCUAACACAUGCAAGUCGAGCGGCAGCGGAAAGUAGCUUGCUACUUUGCCGGCGAGCGGCGGACGGGUGAGUAAUGUCUGGGAAACUGCCUGAUGGAGGGGGAUAACUACUGGAAACGGUAGCUAAUACCGCAUAACGUCGCAAGACCAAAGAGGGGGACCUUCGGGCCUCUUGCCAUCAGAUGUGCCCAGAUGGGAUUAGCUAGUAGGUGGGGUAACGGCUCACCUAGGCGACGAUCCCUAGCUGGUCUGAGAGGAUGACCAGCCACACUGGAACUGAGACACGGUCCAGACUCCUACGGGAGGCAGCAGUGGGGAAUAUUGCACAAUGGGCGCAAGCCUGAUGCAGCCAUGCCGCGUGUAUGAAGAAGGCCUUCGGGUUGUAAAGUACUUUCAGCGGGGAGGAAGGUGUUGUGGUUAAUAACCACAGCAAUUGACGUUACCCGCAGAAGAAGCACCGGCUAACUCCGUGCCAGCCGCCGCCGUAA
This 506-nucleotide ribosomal RNA is filed under the name uncultured bacterium. Its description in RNAcentral is "partial 16S ribosomal RNA". It matches the Rfam family "Bacterial small subunit ribosomal RNA", at positions 30 to 523 of the family's 1533-position model. The record is from RNAcentral.